CGCCUUUUGAUUAUAAUAAGAGGUCCAGCCUGCCCAGUGAUAAAUUUAACGGCCGCGGUACCCUAACCGUGCAAAGGUAGCAUAAUCACUUGUUCUUUAAAUAAGGACUUGUAUCAACGGCAUCACGAGGGUUCUACUGUCUCCUCUCUCUAAUCGGUGAAACUGAUCUCCCUAUGAAAAAGUGGGGAUAAACUUAUAAGACGAGAAGACCCCAUGGAGCUUUAAAACCUAUAGCAACCUAGCAAACACUUCCAUUUAGCUAUAAAACUAUGCUCAAGGACUUUAGGUUGGGAGGACCACGGAGCACAAAAUAACCUCCGCAAUGAAAAGAAUAAAAUCUUUACCAAAGAGCCACAACUCCAAGAAUUAGAAAACUAACGUACAAUGACCCGAUAUCGAUCAAUGAACUAAGUUACCCUGGGGAUAACAGCGCAAUCCAUUCUGAGAGUUCAUAUCGACGAACGGGCUUACGACCUCGAUGUUGGAUCAGGGUAUCCUGGUGGUGCAGCCGCUACCGAAGGUUCGUUUGUUCAACGAUUAAAACCCUACGUGA
Molecule: ribosomal RNA, 553 nt
Filed under: Pseudophilautus leucorhinus (white-nosed bush frog)
Lineage: Eukaryota; Metazoa; Chordata; Amphibia; Anura; Rhacophoridae
Description: partial 16S ribosomal RNA
Rfam family: Bacterial large subunit ribosomal RNA
Source: RNAcentral